CCUACGGGAGGCAGCAGUAGGGAAUCUUCCACAAUGGGCGAAAGCCUGAUGGAGCAACGCCGCGUGGGUGAAGAAGGUCUUCGGGUCGUAAAACCCUGUUGUUAGGGAAGCAAGUGCGGGAGAGUAACUGUUCACGUUUCGACGGUAUCUAACCAGAAAGCCACGGCUAACUACGUGCCAGCAGCCGCGGUAAUACGUAGGUGGCAAGCGUUAUCCGGAUUUAUUGGGCUUAAAGGGAACGCAGGCGGUCUUUUAAGUCUGAUGUGAAAGCCUUCGGCUUAACCGGAGUAGUGCAUUGGAAACUGGGAGACUGGAGUGCAGAAGAGGAGAGUGGAACUCCAUGUGUAGCGGUGAAAUGCGUAGAUAUAUGGAAGAACACCAGUGGCGAAAGCGGCUCUCUGGUCUGUAACUGACGCUGAGGUUCGAAAGCGUGGGUAGCAAACAGGAUUAGAUACCCUGGUAGUC
RNAcentral lists this ribosomal RNA (465 nucleotides) under uncultured bacterium. RNAcentral's name for it is "partial 16S ribosomal RNA". It matches the Rfam family "Bacterial small subunit ribosomal RNA", at positions 338 to 795 of the family's 1533-position model. The record is from RNAcentral.